RNAcentral lists this microRNA (23 nucleotides) under Blattella germanica (German cockroach). RNAcentral describes it as "Bge-Mir-3770_5p (mature (guide))". The record is from RNAcentral. Lineage: Eukaryota; Metazoa; Arthropoda; Insecta; Blattodea; Blattellidae.
AAUCCUGCAUCAAGUGCGUUGCU